This 370-nucleotide ribosomal RNA is filed under the name uncultured Orbus sp. Its description in RNAcentral is "bacterial SSU rRNA". It matches the Rfam family "Bacterial small subunit ribosomal RNA", at positions 355 to 711 of the family's 1533-position model. Lineage: Bacteria; Pseudomonadati; Pseudomonadota; Gammaproteobacteria; Orbales; Orbaceae. The record is from RNAcentral.
UGGGGAAUAUUGCACAAUGGGGGAAACCCUGAUGCAGCCAUGCCGCGUGUAUGAAGAAGGCCUUAGGUUGUAAAGUACUUUCGGUGAUGAGGAAGGUACUUGGUCUAAUAGGCCAAGUAAUUGACGUUAAUUACAGAAGAAGCACCGGGCUAACGUCCUGGCCAGUCAGCCGCGGUAAAUACGGAGGGUGCGAGCGUUAAUCGGAAUGACUGGGCGUAAAGGGCAUGUAGGCGGAUGAUUAAGUUAGGUGUGAAAUCCCCGAGCUCAACUUGGGAAUUGCAUUUAAAACUGGUCGUCUAGAGUAUUGUAGAGGAAGGUAGAAUUCCACGUGUAGCGGUGAAAUGCGUUUAGAGAUUGUGGAGGAAUACCC